AACAACAACAAAAUUCUCAUAAAACACUGCCUCAUCUAUGUUUGCAACAGAAUUGCAUGAUUACACACGCUACAUUGCAUGGAACAAAACACAAUAUGCUCCACAUGAUUACAUACGGACUGCACGACGACCCCGGACCUGCAAAUAAAAUGCAACGUGAAAACCGAUCACUUGCACAUUUUUCUUCCUGCAAAAAUAAGUAAUCUGAAUGUCAGGAGCAAAGAACAGUGGACCACAUCGCUCUUUGAUUUUUUACUUAAGGAUGAAAAGAUCUUCACCCUGCCCUGGAACCAUGCAAAGGGCAGCAGAGGGUGUGGCUAGUUUUUUCGUCGGAAAAUGAGCUCGCCAUUGCGCCGUUAACCUCCAUGGAUGCCUGUUGGGGAAGGGAGUAGAGGGAUCCGCGACGGAGAUGCAUGGGACGACCCUGCCAUUGUCCAUGCUGGAGAAGCUUCCGCCUGCACCAUCGGCCUCGCCUCUUCUGAAUCGAGGCAUGGAUGGGGCUGCCCAUCGGGGGGAUGGAAGGAGACGACGACCUCAUGUCACCGGACUAUAAGCACGCUCGCCGGUGGACUGGACAUCCAACCGCACCGCAUUGACGCCCCAAGCAAGCUGCAGUUAAAUCUGAAAAAGCAAGAAAACAAUUGAAGGGGAGCAGUGGAUGGCUGAACAUGGAUAUCGCCGUGCUCCUCCCGGUCUGCAGGUGGUGGAGGGGUGGACUGUGUGCCACACCGGGCCGCACUGCACCAGGGGAUGGCCAUGCCACCUUGUAGCCGGAACAGCCAGAUCCGGAGAGGGACGCCGCCCCCAUCUGCCUGGAGCAUACAGAAAACAAAAGAACUUCAUUCAGGUACAGUACCCAUUACCAAAUAGCCAAACUCUAGUUUGGCAGCAAAGUUUGUAAAAAACUGUGGUAAUUGGAAACCACGGUAUCCCCAUGGGUGGGCGAGGAAUACUACAGUUUCUUAAAACCAUUGUUUUUCUCAGUUUUACAUGUGUUUGGCUGGUGUUGUUUUAUUAAAGUUUUGACCUAGUAUUCAGCAUGGACGACUGAGUAAUUAACGGAUGUUAACGGCGGCCGGCGGCAUGCAACCGCCAUGCACUCGUUCGCUCGAUCUAUAGAUGCUAGGAUCCGUAGAAUAUGUCUAUCUCGGUGAGUUUGAUUUCUCUCAUGGUGAAGAGAAGAGAUGGAGACUAGCACGUGGUAAACAAAUCUAACUGAAUCCGUAGGAGAUAUAGUACAUGCACUUUACCAUAUACUAACAGAAAUAGGAAAAAAGAUUGCAGCUGGAUAUUGUUAUCUCGAGUAGACGGCAAUGUCAACUGUGAUGGCCCCGAUCUUUUCUCUCUGCUCUGUCUAGAAAAAAGAGGUCAGGACCUCUUUUCCAUAUACUCCAAAAAGACCAUGGUUUCAAGGAUACCGUGGUUUACAAAACUUUAGUUUUUGCUGAAGCUAAACACAUCAAAGUAUUCAAAACCAUGCUUUUUUUAAGAAACCAUGGUAUUGCCAGAAAACUUUAAAAAAACUUUGCUACCAAACGCAGCCUAAACAAAAGAUAUUUUACAGAGUACGAGAAACUAUAUAUAGUACGAAAGGAAAACAAAAAUUAAUUAUGUCAAGCUAGAUUGUAUAGGUUUCCGACCGUUGAUAACACAUUCAUCUACACGUUUUUAUGUGGACGCAUGCACAUGCAUAAAUCAUCUAGGAAGCUCAAGCACAAGAUGACUUGCAGGUCUGUCAGUGUGUGCACAUAAGAUGAUUUCUCAACACGCUUGCAGGUUCUACAUGCAAGAUGGGGCGAUACCAUUUUGUAGUCAGUAGGAAGAAAAAACACUAUAUCAUUUCAGAUAGUGUGUUUUGAAACUUCUCGUAGCUAGCACCCACUUGCAUAUGUUUCUUUGAGUAGCGAUGUGCCUGAUGAAAGGCAUAACUAAGAGAGCCGUGCUGAUUAUAUGUAGAAGAGACUAGUAAAUAUCAUUGAGAUAUGAACAGACUUACUCGAAUCCUGGUAGCGGGACAUCCGAUCGAGGAAAGUAGCCAAAUAAUUCAGCUUCGGCAAUUCAUCUCGCUAUGGCUGAAGUGCAGCACAUUGUUCUGGACCCUCAAGUUGUAGACACCCUUACCUGGAAUUGCGACACCUCUGUACCUACUCUACUUUUGCCCGCACAAACAAUUUUGUGCGCCGGUGGACUGCACCGAUGAUCGAGACGACAUGCAUCAGCGGACUACAACAUCAGUGAAGAACAAAACAAGAGGAGCAUAGGUGAAAGAGAGCCGGGGCUAUCGUGCACACCGGCGUUAGUGAACUACAGGAGGCGUCAAUGUGCACACGACAGAGCUGCACUGGAGGUUCCAAUGAAAUGCACCAAGAGAGAAAAAAGGAUGAACACAAGAUUUGGAGCCUACUGACGAAUCCCGACGACACCCGCCUCAUAGCACAAAAGUGUACUACACGGGGAGUCUACGAUGGCCACGUGUGCCUGCUAUGUAGACUGCUCUAGGCGUAGUGACAACAGCUCUAGGAGAGGACCCAGCCGACCUGCAAUAGGGAGCAGCCUGGACUGCUUGCCGUUAGUGGAGCAUCGUAGGGAGAGGAGCAGAUGAGGGUGGAGGAAAGGAGGACGCCAGGGCAUCCCCUCGAUCGAGGCAACAGGGAGUCAGGGAGCUUGGAGCUGCAAUCCCGUCAUCUGCGAACUGCACAGACUUGCCGACCGAACUGCACGAGCCAAAGUAGUGAGAGAGAAGGGAGCCUGGGCGCGUCUGAUUUGGCCGAGAGGUGGAAGCAGCAGUCGUUGGGGUCGCCGUCGAUGGAUCAAUGGCGCGUCGGCAGAUCCGGGAUGGGGACGGGGGAGGGAGGUGGAGGUGGAGGUCGGUCCUCGAAUUCCGUCGCCUGGCGGCAUGGUAGGGCAAGAACCGACCGGAUCCCGUUACCGGGGAGGCGCGGGGAGGGGGGAGGNNN
Molecule: long non-coding RNA, 2957 nt
Filed under: Triticum aestivum (bread wheat)
Lineage: Eukaryota; Viridiplantae; Streptophyta; Magnoliopsida; Poales; Poaceae
Description: long non-coding RNA (TAES_LNC007114)
Source: RNAcentral